AACGAACGCUGGCGGCGCGCCUAAUACAUGCAAGUCGAGCGAGAAGGUGUAGCAAUACACUUGUAAAGCGGCGAACGGGUGAGGAAUGCAUGGGUAACCUACCCUCGAGUGGGGAAUAACUAGCCGAAAGGUUAGCUAAUACCGCAUACGUUUCCGGAACUUCGGUUUCGGAAAGAAAGCAAUACCGUGGGUAUUGCGCUCCUGGAUGGGCUCAUGUCCUAUCAGCUUGUUGGUGAGGUAACGGCUCACCAAGGCUUCGACGGGUAGCUGGUCUGAGAGGACGAUCAGCCACACUGGCACUGCGACACGGGCCAGACUCCUACGGGAGGCAGCAGUAAGGAAUAUUGCGCAAUGGACGAAAGUCUGACGCAGCGACGCCGCGU
RNAcentral lists this ribosomal RNA (383 nucleotides) under uncultured bacterium. RNAcentral describes it as "bacterial SSU rRNA". It matches the Rfam family "Bacterial small subunit ribosomal RNA", at positions 29 to 402 of the family's 1533-position model. The record is from RNAcentral.